AUAAAUGGAUCUAGCUAAGCCCCAGAACAUUGACUAAAAUCGUGCCAGCCGUCGCGGUUAGACGAAGAAUGUAAAUGAAGAAUAUAAUUAAAGUUAUAAUAUUUUUUAAUGCACGUAAAACCUUAAAAGAUUAUUUUAAGGGUGAAAUCUAGUAAAUAAUUCUCAUAGUUUAAAGUAUAGUUAAUUAUAUAAUAAAGUAAGCCAAAAAACCAGGAUUAGAUACCCUGUUAUUCUUAAAGAUAUAAUUAGGGUAGUAAAAGUCAUUUCUUCAAACCCAAAGAUUUUGGCGGCAUUUUGUCCGAACAGAGGAGCUUGUUUCGUAAUUGAUAAUCCUCAAUACACCUUACCUUUUUUAUUCAGUUUAUAUACCUCCGUUGUCAGAUUACUCUAUAAAGACGUUUUCAAUAAAUAUAAUUUUUCUACUUCAGGUCAAGGUGUAGCUUAUAAAAAGGAGAAAAUUAGCUACAAUUUAAAAUAAAACUCGGAUUGUUUGUUAAACCAAUAAUGAAGAUGGAUUU
RNAcentral lists this ribosomal RNA (518 nucleotides) under Ceriodaphnia megops. RNAcentral's name for it is "partial 12S ribosomal RNA". Lineage: Eukaryota; Metazoa; Arthropoda; Branchiopoda; Diplostraca; Daphniidae. The record is from RNAcentral.